Molecule: long non-coding RNA, 420 nt
Filed under: Homo sapiens (human)
Lineage: Eukaryota; Metazoa; Chordata; Mammalia; Primates; Hominidae
Description: HSALNT0193869
Source: RNAcentral
UGAAAACUCUUGCCAAAUCAGUUUUGCAAGCCAAAUCAUUAUUAAAAGUGCGGGCAGAACAACUGGUCUGGUUUCCACUGGAGUACCACUCUGAGCUCUUCAAGACACCAGUUACUUUAUUGGAUCUGGUUAGUAAGAAACUUAAGAAGCUUCUACAUGGAGAAGAUGCAGAUGCCAUAUCAGUUGGGGAGGAAGUUAGUAUACUUCCAGUGGAAGACCUGAGAGGGUACCUGAAGAGAUACCGGGAAAAUAUUGGAAACAUGCCACCAAGCCCUCUUCGAUAGAAGUCUCCUUAUUUGGAAAGUUGCCAUUUUAAUGUUCAGUGUGAAUCAGGAUCUCUCUCUGACACCCAUGCUGGAGUGCAGUUGUGUGAUCUCAGCUCACUGCAACCUCUGCCUCUCAGGUUCAAGCGACUCUCCC